GUGCUUGCUUCAGUAGAACAUAUACUAAAAGUGAAACCAUACAGAGAAGAUUAGCAUGGCCCCUGCGCAAAGAUGAUAUGGAAAUUUGUUCCAUAGUUUU
Otolemur garnettii (small-eared galago) is the source of this 100-nucleotide small nuclear RNA. The record is from Ensembl. NCBI's taxonomy places the organism in Eukaryota, Metazoa, Chordata, Mammalia, Primates, Galagidae.